UUUUAAUUAGCCUUACCACCACCACCCCGCAGCCCUCCCACUCAGGACCGGCCACCCGAAACCAUGUGGCCCCAGUGAUUACCCAGGAGACAGACAGAAGGACGCAUUCAUUGAGCUUCCUGUCCCUCUGAGUUGGGUGAACUAACAAGCGCUCCAGAGAUGCUCAGGACAGCCGGCUCCACGCUGACACCACCUUCACCCUGACAUCGUCCCCAGGUGCCCCGUGAGUCAGCGCGACGUGGAUUCUUUCUCUGGGAAGUCCCCCACCAGGGAGAGGAGGAGGAGAACGUGGAUCUGCUCUUGAGAAGUGAAAACAUGACGGGCAGCAGGGCAGGGCAGUCAAGGAGCUGUGGGCUGA
Molecule: long non-coding RNA, 358 nt
Organism: Eptesicus fuscus (big brown bat)
Lineage: Eukaryota; Metazoa; Chordata; Mammalia; Chiroptera; Vespertilionidae
Exons: 3
Source: RefSeq, a predicted model, not a curated record